Molecule: ribosomal RNA, 403 nt
Filed under: uncultured bacterium
Lineage: Bacteria
Description: bacterial SSU rRNA
Rfam family: Bacterial small subunit ribosomal RNA
Source: RNAcentral
GGGGAAUAUUGGACAAUGGGGGAAACCCUGAUCCAGCAAUGCCGCGUGAGUGAUGAAGGCCCUAGGGUUGUAAAACUCUUUCAGAAGUGAAGAUGAUGACGGUAACUUCAGAAGAAGCUCCGGCUAACUCCGUGCCAGCAGCCGCGGUAAUACGGAGGGAGCUAGCGUUGUUCGGAAUUACUGGGCGUAAAGAGCGUGUAGGCUGUUAGGUAAGUCAGAGGUGAAAUCCCUAAGCUCAACUUAGGAACUGCCUUUGAUACUAUCUUACUAGAGAUCGAGAGAAGUUGGCGGAAUUCCAAGUGUAGAGGUGAAAUUCGUAGAUAUUUGGAAGAACACCAGUGGCGAAAGCGGCCAACUGGCUCGUAUCUGACGCUGAGACGCGAAAGCGUGGGUAGCAAACAGG